Molecule: ribosomal RNA, 301 nt
Filed under: uncultured bacterium
Lineage: Bacteria
Description: partial 16S ribosomal RNA
Rfam family: Bacterial small subunit ribosomal RNA
Source: RNAcentral
CAGUCGCCGCGGUAAAACGGAGGGUGCAAGCGUUAAUCGGAAUUACUGGGCGUAAAGCGCACGCAGGCGGUCUGACAAGUCAGAUGUGAAAUCCCCGGGCUUAACCUGGGAACUGCAUUUGAAACUGUCAGGCUGGAGUCUUGUAGAGGGGGGUGGAAUUCCAGGUGUAGCGGUGAAAUGCGUAGAGAUCUGGAGGAAUACCGGUGGCGAAGGCGGCCCCCUGGACAAAGACUGACGCUCAGGUGCGAAAGCGUGGGGAGCAAACAGGAUUAGAUACCCGAGUAGUCCCUGUCUCUUAUAA